This 77-nucleotide transfer RNA is filed under the name Puniceicoccales bacterium. RNAcentral's name for it is "tRNA-Val". It matches the Rfam family "tRNA". Rfam says of the family: Transfer RNA (tRNA) molecules are approximately 80 nucleotides in length. Their secondary structure includes four short double-helical elements and three loops (D, anti-codon, and T loops). Further hydrogen bonds mediate the characteristic L-shaped molecular structure. tRNAs have two regions of fundamental functional importance: the anti-codon, which is responsible for specific mRNA codon recognition, and the 3' end, to which the tRNAs corresponding amino acid is attached (by aminoacyl-tRNA synthetases). tRNAs cope with the degeneracy of the genetic code in two manners: having more than one tRNA (with a specific anti-codon) for a particular amino acid; and 'wobble' base-pairing, i.e. permitting non-standard base-pairing at the 3rd anti-codon position. The record is from RNAcentral. Lineage: Bacteria; Pseudomonadati; Verrucomicrobiota; Opitutia; Puniceicoccales.
GGGGAGUUAGCUCAGUUGGUUAGAGCACCAGCUUGACAUGCUGGGGGUCAUGGGUUCGAGUCCCGUACUUCCCACCA